This is an RNA transcript of Columba livia (rock pigeon), 1384 nucleotides long. RefSeq lists it as uncharacterized. Lineage: Eukaryota; Metazoa; Chordata; Aves; Columbiformes; Columbidae. The record is from RefSeq and is a predicted model, not a curated record. The transcript is spliced from 2 exons.
GGGGCUGGGCAAUGCGUAGCCCUGGCCCCACCCCCUCCCGGUCACACCCAGGAGGUCACAGUGACCAGGAAACCCACAGACGUGGGCGGGGCUAGAGCGGGGUGGGUGCCGUCCAUGCCCGGCCCCUCCUACCAAAGGUCCCGCCCACUCACUGUGACGAGGAGGGCGGGGCCGGGCGUGCGUCGCUCCAGGUGGAUCAUGGCCAGCAGGGCCGGCAACUGCCUCUCGCGCGCCCCCGCGUAGAACAACCUGCAGGCGGGGACAGUGACAUCAUGAGGCAGCAAAUGUCCAACAGCAGCUCCAUCACCCAGUUCCUCCUCCUGGCAUUCACAGACACACGGGAGCUGCAGCUCUUGCACUUCUGGCUCUUCCUGGGCAUCUACCUGUCUGCCCUCCUGGGCAACGGCCUCAUCAUCAUCAUCAUAGCUUGGGACCAGCACCUGCACACCCCCAUGUACUUCUUCCUCUUCAGCCUCUCCCUUCUUGACCUGGGCUUCAUCUCCACCAUUGUCCGCAAGUCCAUGGCCAGCUACCUCUGCGACACCAGGGCCAUUUCCUAUACCAGAUGUGCUGCCUAGGCCUUUGUCUUUUUGAUGUCAUGAGAUUUUUACCUUCUCACCAUCAUGGCCUAUGACCGCUAGGCUGCCAUCUGCAAACCCCUGCACUACGGGACGCUCCUGGGCAGCAGAGCUUGUGUCCACAUGGCAGCAGCUGCCUGGGCCACUGGGUUCCUCAAUGCUCUGCUGCACACAGCCAAUACAUUUUCACUACCACUCUGCAAGGGCAAUGCCCUGAACCAGUUCUUCUGUGAAAUCCCCCUGAUCCUCAAGCUCUCCUGCUCAGACGCCUGCCUCAGGGAAACUGGGCUUCUCAUGUCUAGUGCUUUUUUGGGGGAGGAUACUUUGUUUUCAUUGUGGUGUCCUAUGUGCAGAUAUUCAGGGCCGUGCUGAGGAUCCCCACUGAGCAGGGACAGCACCAAGCCUUUUCUACAUGCCUCCCUCACCUGGCUGUGGUCUCCUUGUUUAUCAGUACUGGAAUGUUUGCCUGCCUGAAGCCCCCUUCCCUGUCUUCUACAUCCUUGGGCCUGGUGGUGUCAUUUCUGUAUUCACUGAUACCCCUGCAUUGAAGCCCCUCAUCUACAGCAUGAGGAACAAGGAUCUCAAGGAUGCCCUGAGGAAGCUGAUGUACAUUGCAUUUGCUGUGUAGGGGUGACUUUGGGAAAGGCAAGGCUCACCUGGAGUUGGUGGCUGCAAGAAAAGUCAAGAGCAAAACCAAGAGCUUCAAUGUCUGCGUCAGAGACCAAGGCUGAACAAGGGAAAUGCGGGGCUGCUGCUGAGGGGAAUUUAAUAACAGCAGAGUGUGAUGCUGGUGCUGAGGGACUCAA